GCUACAAUGGCGCAUACAAAGAGAAGCGACCUCGCGAGAGCAAGCGGACCUCAUAAAGUGCGUCGUAGUCCGGAUUGGAGUCUGCAACUCGACUCCAUGAAGUCGGAAUCGCUAGUAAUCGUGGAUCAGAAUGCCACGGUGAAUACGUUCCCGGGCCUUGUACACACCGCCCGUCACACCAUGGGAGUGGGUUGCAAAAGAAGUAGGUAGCUUAACCUUCGGGAGGGCGCUUACCACUUUGUGAUUCAUGACUGGGGUGAAGUCGUAACAAGGUAACCGUAGGGGAACCUGCGGUUGGAUCACCUCCUU
Molecule: ribosomal RNA, 309 nt
Filed under: Escherichia coli
Lineage: Bacteria; Pseudomonadati; Pseudomonadota; Gammaproteobacteria; Enterobacterales; Enterobacteriaceae
Description: partial 16S ribosomal RNA
Rfam family: Bacterial small subunit ribosomal RNA
Source: RNAcentral